This 75-nucleotide transfer RNA is filed under the name Salmonella enterica subsp. enterica. Its description in RNAcentral is "tRNA-Pro". It matches the Rfam family "tRNA". From Rfam's summary of the family: Transfer RNA (tRNA) molecules are approximately 80 nucleotides in length. Their secondary structure includes four short double-helical elements and three loops (D, anti-codon, and T loops). The record is from RNAcentral. Lineage: Bacteria; Pseudomonadati; Pseudomonadota; Gammaproteobacteria; Enterobacterales; Enterobacteriaceae.
CGGCACGUAGCGCAAAGCCGGUAGCGCACCGUCAUGGGGUGUCAAAUGGAGGUUCAAAUCCUCUCGUGCCGACCA